CCUACGGGGGGCUGCAGUAGGGAAUCUUCCACAAUGGGCGAAAGCCUGAUGGAGCAACGCCGCGUGAGUGAUGAAGGUCUUCGGAUCGUAAAACUCUGUUGUUAGAGAAGAACGUGCGUGAGAGUAACUAUUCACGUCUCGACGGUAUCUAACCAGAAAGCCACGGCUAACUACGUGCCAGCAGCCGCGGUAAUACGUAGGUGGCAAGCGUUAUCCGGAAUUAUUGGGCGUAAAGGGCACGUAGGCGGAUUGUUAAGUUUGAUGUGAAAUCUCAGGGCUUAACUCGGGAACGGCAUUUGAUACUGUAGAACUAGAGAGUAGAAGAGGAAGGCGGAAUGUAAGGUGUAGCGGUGAAAUGCUUAGAGAUAAGGCAGAACACCAGUGGCGAAGGCGGCUUACUAGUCUGUAACUGACGUUGAUGUGCGAAAGCGUGGGGAGCAAACAGGAUUAGAUACCCUAGUAGUC
This 465-nucleotide ribosomal RNA is filed under the name uncultured bacterium. Its description in RNAcentral is "partial 16S ribosomal RNA". It matches the Rfam family "Bacterial small subunit ribosomal RNA", at positions 338 to 795 of the family's 1533-position model. The record is from RNAcentral.